This 480-nucleotide ribosomal RNA is filed under the name uncultured bacterium. Its description in RNAcentral is "partial 16S ribosomal RNA". It matches the Rfam family "Bacterial small subunit ribosomal RNA", at positions 28 to 523 of the family's 1533-position model. The record is from RNAcentral.
GACGAACGCUGGCGGCGUGCUUAACACAUGCAAGUCGAACGAUGAAGUUCCUUCGGGAAUGGAUUAGUGGCGAACGGGUGAGGAACACGUGAGAAACCUGCCUUUCAUUUUGGGAUAACUCCGGGAAACCGGGGUUAAAACCGAAUAAUCCGUCGCGGCGGCAUCGCGGAGCCGGGAAAAAAUUUUGAUGAAAGAUGGUAUAGCGGGCUAUCAGCUAGUUGGGGAGGUAAUGGCUCACCAAGGCAACGACGGGUAGCCGGCCUGGGAGGGCGACCGGCCACACUGGGACUGAGACACGGCCCAGACUCCUACGGGAGGCAGCAGUGGGGAAUAUUGGGCAAUGGGCGCAAGCCUGACCCAGCGACGCCGCGUGAGGGAUGAAGGCCUUCGGGUUGUAAACCUCUUUCAGUAGGGAAGAAGCGAAAGUGACGGUACCUAAAGAAGAAGCACCGGCUAACUAUGUGCCAGCAGCCGCGGUAA